GAAAUGCGAUAAGUAAUGUGAAUUGCAGAAUUCAGUGAAUCAUCGAAUCUUUGAACGCACAUUGCGCCCGCCAGUAUUCUGGCGGGCAUGUCUGUUCGAGCGUCAUUUCAACCAUCAAGCCCCCGGGCUUGUGUUGGGGACCUGCGGCUGCCGCAGGCCCCGAAAACCAGUGGCGGGCUCGCUGUCACACCGGGCGUAGUAGAUUUUUCGUCUCGCCCAGGGCGUGCUGCGGGUUCCGGCCGUUAAAAAGCCUCUCUUUUAACCCAAGGUUGACCUCGGAUCAGGUAGGAAGACCCGCUGAACUUAAGC
RNAcentral lists this unclassified non-coding RNA (309 nucleotides) under plant metagenome. RNAcentral's name for it is "partial contains 5.8S ribosomal RNA, internal transcribed spacer 2, and large subunit ribosomal RNA". The stretch from base 1 to 105 matches the Rfam family "5.8S ribosomal RNA", at positions 50 to 154 of the family's 154-position model. The record is from RNAcentral.